This 77-nucleotide transfer RNA is filed under the name Opitutus sp. RNAcentral describes it as "tRNA-His". It matches the Rfam family "tRNA". Rfam says of the family: Transfer RNA (tRNA) molecules are approximately 80 nucleotides in length. Their secondary structure includes four short double-helical elements and three loops (D, anti-codon, and T loops). Further hydrogen bonds mediate the characteristic L-shaped molecular structure. tRNAs have two regions of fundamental functional importance: the anti-codon, which is responsible for specific mRNA codon recognition, and the 3' end, to which the tRNAs corresponding amino acid is attached (by aminoacyl-tRNA synthetases). tRNAs cope with the degeneracy of the genetic code in two manners: having more than one tRNA (with a specific anti-codon) for a particular amino acid; and 'wobble' base-pairing, i.e. permitting non-standard base-pairing at the 3rd anti-codon position. The record is from RNAcentral. RNAcentral also lists the same sequence under 4 other names. Lineage: Bacteria; Pseudomonadati; Verrucomicrobiota; Opitutia; Opitutales; Opitutaceae.
GCGGCCUUAGCUCAGUUGGUUAGAGCACUAGAUUGUGAUUCUAGGGGUCGCGGGUUCGAAUCCCGUAGGCCGCCCCA